This 617-nucleotide ribosomal RNA is filed under the name uncultured bacterium. RNAcentral's name for it is "bacterial SSU rRNA". It matches the Rfam family "Bacterial small subunit ribosomal RNA", at positions 338 to 945 of the family's 1533-position model. The record is from RNAcentral.
CCUACGGGAGGCAGCAGUGGGGAAUAUUGCGCAAUGGGGGAAACCCUGACGCAGCAACGCCGCGUGAGUGAGGAAGGACUUCGGUCUGUAAAGCUCUGUUAAUGAGGAAAAAUGGUAGUUGGUCUAAUAGGCCGAUUAUUUGAUGGUACUCAUAGAGGAAGCACCGGCUAACUUCGUGCCAGCAGCCGCGGUAAUACGAAGGGUGCAAGCGUUGUUCGGAUUUAUUGGGCGUAAAGCGCGCGUAGGCGGACCUGCAAGUAAGAUAUGAAAUCUCGAGGCUCAACCUCGAAACUGCGUCUUAAACUACAGGUCUAGAAUCUCGGAGGGGGAAGGGGAAUUUCGCAUGUAGGGGUAAAAAUCCGUAGAUAUGCGAAGGAACACCAGAGGCGAAGGCGCCUUCCUGGACGAGUAUUGACGCUGAGGCGCGAAAGCGUGGGGAUCAAACAGGAUUAGAUACCCUGGUAGUCCACGCUGUAAACGAUGAACACUAGGUAUUGGAGGAUUUGACCCCUUCAGUGCCGUAGCUAACGCGUUAAGNGUUCCGCCUGGGAAAGUACGGUCGCAAGCUAAAACUUAAGGAAUUGACGGCNGAGAGNGCGAGACGACGACGAGGAGAG